GCUUGUUGAGGGUAGUUGACAGUGGGGGGCUGGGGUGGGUGGAAAUAGAUUAUUCAAAUCACAAAGAAGUAGGUGUGCCCUAAGUGACUGUUCCAUUACGGCGAGGAAGAAAUGUUUGCCUUCCUAAGCAUUCAUCCAACUCGCUGCUGCCGAUUGUGUGGGGCCGGAGGAGAGUGCCUGCUCACGAUCGGAAAGCAGCUCCUCUCCGUGUCCUGUGCUGGUGACUUCAGAGAGUGCAUUGUCGUGUAUGGACACCACACCGACCACUCUGUAACCCUCACCCUUCGCCCAGGCCCCUCCCUGCCUGCUCUGGCUGUGCACAGCUACCCCAGAUCCUCGCCCUGCUGUUUGUGGCCCCCACACUUUGAUUUCCCCUCGUGUCUUCACUUUCCACACUUGUACAUCCCGAAAGUUUCCAAGUCCUAUGGAUUCUGCUUCUGUUAUUUCUAAUUCAAAGGUUCUGGGCUGUGCCUUCCAACUGGAUAAAGCUGACCCUGGAAUUGGCACCUGGUGGGUGAGCAAUCAGGGUCCGUUGAAUGAAAAAUGGCCUCCACCUUAAUCAAGGUUUCAGCUCCAAAAAUAAUCCUACGUGUAUCUCUGCCCACUACUGCAUUAUCCUCCAUGACAGUCGGCUUGGAUCACAUUAUUUUAAUGUUCAGCACCUAGCUUUUUCCUGAAUCCAAUGUAAAGUACUCUUUUCUUUUUCUUUUGGCACCAGGGAUCGAACUCAGGACCUUGCGCUUGUGAGGCAGACUCAGUGCCACUGAGCUAAAUCCCUGAUCCCCAAACUACUCUUUUUAAAUACACCCCAACUUAUUUUUCCUCAGUACUCCUUCACAAACUCCUAAAUACCCUAUGCUCAACACAAAACAUACAGUUCCCAAAGGAAGAUCUUCCAGCCUACACUUACCCAACUUUGUGAUGGGAAGAAAGCCACAGGGUAGGCUGGGAAGCAGGCUCUGAAGUUUGAAUUCAGUCUGUUCUGGGCUGGUGAUAGGUGGUGAUGCUUCUUCCCAGUCUGGACAGCAGCAGUGAGUCAUUUCAGCAGGAGAAACGCAGAAACUGUAGGUGGCACCGUGCGGGCAGUGUGUUUUGGAUAUUGUCAUUCAGAAAGUUAACUGAGAUAGUCAAUGCUUAAUUAUAAAAUGGGCUUUGAGUUGGGUGGUGCUGCUUAACUGUAUGUAAGGAAGGCAGGCCAGGCACAGCUGUGAUGUCCAGUAGGUGAAGAAUAGUAAAUACAUUUUUGAUUUUUUCUAUUUAUGAUGGGUUUUAGCCUCAGUAGAAAUGCAGCAGCACCUGUAUUAUUUAUUCAUUUUGGUCUCUGCCUCAUAGCUUAGUUUAUCUUCAUUUCUUCAACCGUAAUGCUUACUCUUGUUUAUUCAGCAGUAUUGGGGAUUGCACUUGGGGUCUUUGCACUGAGCUACACACCCCGUCUUUUCCCUUCUUUCCUGAGUCAAGGUGUCGCUAAACUGCAGAUUUUCCUGGGUUGAUCUCCUGAUUGUGAUUGUCCUGCCUCAGCCUCCUAGAGUGUAUCCGGCUUCACUCAUCUUUUAAAAGUGAAUUUUUACUGGGCUUUUAAGGCACAUUUCAAAUGCUGCCCCGCCCAUGGAGCUACAGUAUUUGGGUUCUGUAUGUCUUUUUCAGCUAAGCUGGAUGUUCUUCCCUUUUCAGGGAAUUUAUGGGAUUCCUACCAGCAGGUACCUGGUCGGGAGAUGGGAGCUAAACUUCCUUUUUUUGUGCCUGGACCCUCAAUGUCUUACACAUAGUAGGCACAUAGAGUACUUUCAUUAAAUUACAUUCAUGUUUGUUUUUUCCUCAGGGCUGCCGGGAUGUUUCUUUCUCUUUUGAGUCCAGGUUGAUGCUCCUCACUGUGGGGCGUGUGUCUGUGUGAGUAGCCCGCUUAGCUCCUUCAGUGAGGAGACAUACGUUGUUUAGUCCUUAUUUUAAACUACUUUUCAGAAUGGGAGAACAACGCCUUCAUUUUGGAUCCAUGUGAUGCACUUUGAAUUUGCUCAGCUUUAGUUUGUGCUGCCCCUCAUUCUGUGUGGAAAUUAGUUCCACCGAAGUGCCACUGAACUCAGAGCUGCCUGCAACUUGAGAUGCAAACUCCAACACUGUGGGCCACUUUUGAGAAGCAUGUGGUCAUUCGGGAAACAAAGACACUCCUGUUUCCUCUUCUCAAUAACAAUUAAGACAUCAGAUUAAUAGAAUCUUUAAAUUCUUGAAUGAUGCUUGCAGAACAGUUUGUGUUUGCUUUAACACAAAGGAAUACUUUCUGAAACCUAAAGGUCACCCAAGAAAUAAGAGAGAGACAAUUUAGGAAUGGUGCAUGCUGGUAGAGUUUUGCAGAAUGGCAUGUGUUCUUUACAGUGUGUUUCUGGCUUUGGAGCCACUUGGCAUGGGAGUACACUGUGAUUUACUGCAGACAGGCAUUCCUGGGCAAGGAGUCCCCUGCAUGGAAGGGACAUGCCAUCAGGAGAAGGAGAGGACACUGGGGGUGGGAUGGGGGAAGAAGACUUCUCAGUUCCCACUCUAGCAUUUACUUAAUGAGUGUAAUGUUCUUGCUAAUGGGAUUUAACCACAAUACCUGUCUCUAACCUUGUCACCGAAAAGGUAGUCUACAUGCCCCUCUUUUCAAUGCUGUCUGGGUGGAAACUGUGCCCAAGUCUGUUCUCCCAAUUUUCUAAGUGGUAAUCCUAGAAUUAUCUUGGCUCAGAAAUAAAUGAAGAACUCAUGUACAGGAGUCAGAUUUCCCUACAGGGGUUGUAACUGAAACAAGGAUUAAGUACCAGUGUACAAAACCUUUCAAGCAAUGGACAGCAUGUCAAUUGCGGAACACUCUAUCGUAGAAGGGCCCUUAGCGCUUCUCUUUUAUAAAGCCUGAGAUCAGAUUUUGGUGGAGAAUUAAAAGCAGGGCAAUUUAGCUCCUUUAAAGGGUUGCUGGUUUGGGAGGACCCAGCUAUUUUUAGCUCUGUUGCUGUCUGUCCAGGAAGCUAAAACAGCUAGUCAAUUAAAUGGUAAACAGUGUGUGUGUGUGUGUGUGUGUGUGUGUGUGCAAGGUGUUGUGUAGGAGUAGGGCAGGGAGCUGGGGAGAUAAAAUAGGCCUCAGAAAAGAGUCUACCCAGGGCAAGAACUUUGCAAAGAGUUGCACAGUGUCAUGCAGAUAAAGCAUCCACUGGUGGCCACCUGUUACACAGUGCACACGUUUAUUUGAUGUUGCGCAGCAGAUGGAAUGGAAUGACACUAAGCCAGCUGAUCACUCAUGCUCAGGCAUCCAUUGAGUGAUGGUCACAAACUCUCUGCCAUUUACUGACUAUCUGCUAUACACCUAGCAUGGCGCUUUACUUCCGGUGUGCCAUUGGAUGUUGACAGCUGCAGCCUGAGAAGCCGAUACAGAGACAUUUUUGCCCAAGAUUACCUACCUGAUAGGUGCCUGAACUGGAUUAGAAUCUAGUUUUCUUUCCAACUCUGCUCUAGUCACUUCUGUAGCCUGCCUCCCACACUGGUCCCAGCUGCACUGACACUAUGUGAUCUGAAAUCGGUGUGUGAGGGCACUUUGGCCUUCCUGGAGAAAGGCAUGGAGCACACACAGGCCCGAUAUGCACACACAGAAAUGUGUAUAUACUGAACCUACAUUUAAAUCCACAUUUUAAGUGUGCCAGUAUCCUUAAAAAGAAAUAAUGAGGGACUCUCAUUUACAUUUUGCUUUCCAGUUUUCCUGGAACUGUAAUUUGUACUCCUCUUUUUUAAAAAAAAUCCCCUUUACCUUCUUUUAUUUAUUAUGAUCCCUGGAGAAUGUGUCCUCUGCUCAUGGCCUAGAUAAGAGAUCAUGGGUAUGGAGCAGAGGUCAGCAAGAUAGACGUAUGUUAGAAAAAAAAAAGAAAAUAGCAGGGUGGAACCACAUGGCUCUUAGUGGUCAUUUUUUCCCCUCAUGCUGUGUAGCAAACCUGAGGCAUGCUCAAUUUGGCAUCUUUGAAUUUAAACCAUGGAUAAACCAAAUAGAUCACAAACUAUGAUUCCAAAUAGAAACUGUGGAUUUAUCCGAAGGUAUAUUAUAUGAUCUCAUCCAAACAUAAAAUUCAUAUUCUAAGAGUGGUGUGUAAAAUUCCCCGAGAUUUUAGUGCAAGAUAAUUUUCCCUUUUCAUGUGCCUUUCCUCAUAUUGAGAUAGGUGGAAAUCUUUUAAGAUUUUAAUUAACCUUCGUCCUAAUGAAAAACCAACUACCAAUCUAUAGAUGGAAGGAUAUUUCCUUGGACAAUGUAGCCGUUAGUGUAAGGUCUUGUUGAAUCUCUUUCAACAAGUGUUUGGAAAAAAUCAAAUUUAGAAAUAAACAUUCAUAUCUAGAGGGCCUAUCGGGGUUUCCCUCCAAGCAGACAAAGGAAUACUUUCAGUCUUAUUAUAUGUCUUUGGACAAGCUCAGCUCUCAGGGCCUGCUGAGCUCUAAUAUCUUACGAAUCACUAACAGUCAAACUUCUUUCAUUUUGAGGCCCAUUCCUGGAGGGAUAAAGAUAAUGUGGUCAAGGAUGCAACAAUCAGCUGUUGGACUCAGAUGUGGCUGUAGAUAUAAAACAGAGUAUCUCUUCCUUUCCAGAUCAAAGGGAGAGAGUCCUUAGAAUGCUCAAGUUCGAAGUAGACAAAGAGGAGAAGGAAUAUCUAGCAUCAAAAUAGUGGCAAAUAUAAAAAUCUAGGCUUAUUACUGAGACCUAGGAAACAAUUCUCAAGGAAUGUUCCUGCUGCCAGUUACCUGAGAUUUUUUAAUUACAGGCAAUUCAUGAUUACCUGUGAAAGGAGGGAUGGAGAGGAGAACUCAAACAAUGAAUGUUGCAAAAUCAUACAAAUUGGCUUGGGAAUAUUCUGCAUGAUUUCUCCCUCUUAGAAAUUUGCCUUCCUAAUUGUAUUUUGCUUAAUCCAAUAUUAAAAAUUAGUUGGUUUCCCCUGAGAAGCUCUGGAGUUAAACUGCAGAGGGAAUUAGUUUCAGGAGCAUGCCACUUGGAACGUGGUGGAUGAAACGUAUUCGGGCCUUAAUGGACCAAAAGCUCCCACAGAUAUUUUAAUCUUAAAGGAAAGUGUCAUCUUGAGCACCUUACUAGUCUUCUCAUGUUGCCUAAAAGGCUGUAAACAAGUAUUUGUGAUCGUUAUGUAGGUGAGAUUAUUUCUACCUAGAUUUGUGCAUUUUUACCUGGAGAAUGUUCCAUUCUCGUCUCUCCCCUCCUUGGUAGCUGUAGUAAAUAAUAAACCAUCUAUCAGACUUAAGCAUAGGGCCUUAAUGGGGCCAGAAAUUUUGUUGAAUAAAUGAGAACAUUACUUAAGGCAGGUCUGGGUCUCAUUGUGUGACACCCAAGCAAUCCAUGAGGUGAUGUUUGUGAUUUAGGAAUCCGAACCCUUAGGCUAUAGAGUUGUUUUCUUUGGGGUUCCAGACUAAGUUCCCUUUGCUUCCUUCCCAACUUCCUUAAUUCUUUCCUUUCUCCCUCCCUGCCCCAUUUUUUAUAUUUGCCUUGUACCAUAUUGAAAUUAUUUCAUAUUGUAAUGUUCCGUCAGUAUAUACAAAUUCAAAAGUAGACGUACAUCCCUUCAGCUUAUAGUGCAUCUACAACUGAAAAUCCAAAACAAAUUUGCACACUGAAUUCCAACAAAAUGACAAAUGCCGCACUCAGAUGAACAAUACUGAUUUGACGUGAUGAACGACAGUGAGCUAACAUUAAGUGCUCACUUGUGGCAGUGGUGGUGGACCGACUGGUAGGCUGGUGAUGCUUUAAUUUUAUCAUACCUUUCUGUGUUUGUGAUGUAGAAGACAGUUCUAACAUCUUACUUAAAUCCCCUAGAAAGCUUUGGUCCACAUAAGUGUGCUGAUAGAUCAUGUAGCCUCACGAAUCCAUAAUCCAUUUUUAGGUUCACAAUCAGGUAUUGUGGGUCCUGGUGAGUAUGUAGUUUUGGGGAGUAUUUUAAAUAAAAAGUUAAAAGGUAAUGAAAGCAGAAUAAGUGGGGUUCCUCUCAGGCCCUUGGAAAGAAUCUGUACAGAGCAGUGCUGAACAUCAGGCAUUCUUAGCUUCAAAUCCAUCUUCCAAAUCCAUCUCGUUCAUGGGUCAAGCACUUCUCUACUUUCCUUUUAUUACCAAUAAAAAUGUCCAACCGGGUAACAAUGAGGAGUUGUAUUUUGUUUUCAUUUUAAGGAUAUAGUUUUGCAUUAUACAUUGGUACUUUUUAAAGGUAAUUCUUAAAAUAAAAACAGAAAAUUAGAUAUGGUUAUUUGUAGCACAGAUGGUUGCACAAUCUUUUUAUGUAAACUAUUUCUCCUAUGAUGGAUUCCUACAAGGAAACCCUGGGAGAAAGUUUUGGGGCUUGCCUUUUUUUUUCAGCAUUCGUUUAAUUUACAGAGGUCAUGGAAAUAGAGAGGUCAGCAUUUCUCAAGAACAGCUUUUCCCAACCUGCCUGGCUUCUCGGAGCUUGAUCUGGGGGCUCACACAGCCCUUGUCAUUGUCUGGCACCUCGCCUGGUAACAUGGUUGUGAGCCCUGUCAGAAGACAGGGCCAAAGUGUGCCUCAGGUCAGCAUUUCUCUGGGGACCGAGGGGGCAGGCAGAACCCAGAGGUCAGAUCUGCCUUGGGGAUAACAUUGCAGAGUCCAGUGGUUGCAAUCAGGUGUGUUAUAAGUCAAAGCCACAUGGCAAACAGCAGGCACAGGGAAUGCUCAAAGGUCAGAUGGGCAACACAAGCCAGGGUCAGGAAGAACUUGGAGCUACAAUACCAGUUGGCAAGCAAAGCAGUCAUAAAAACCAUGAUCAGGCACAUUAUGCCUGUUGGACCUAAAUUCUUUCUGCCUACGAGACUGCUGUGCUCAGAGACAUUGGCUCUGGUACCAUGUGAGAGCACCUGGUAGACUGGAGAAUAAACUAUUAUACUCAAGAUCUAACCUGCCCUCUCAGGUUCUCUUCUCUCUAAGACAGGACAGUGAUGUCUCCACUGAAGUGACCUCCAUCGUACAGGUAUCCAGGAUACAUGCUCUGGGUGGAGCUUAGUUCUAAGAGAAUGUUUAUCUUGGAACCUUCUAAGGCUUUUCAUCAAAUAGUCCUAGCUUUCUUACUCCUUGCUUUAUGGGGUUGUUGUGAAUGGGUUUUGUAAAUAAUAAAGGACUACCACAUACCAGAUGACUACAAUCCUUUCUUUCCAGUGGGGAUUCUGAUGUUUAUAUUACCUGAAAGUUGUUUUCAAGUGAGGUUCUCAGCUAAUAAAUAUUUUUUUGGGUUUUCUUUCUAUUUUUUUUUUCCUUGAUUGAGCCUCAUCUUUUUGGUGACCAAUAAUUUAUUGGAAAUUUUAUCUGAGAAAAAUGUUUGCAGAGAUGGAGAGUUUCCCAGAUUCAAAAGAGAUUUUUCUUCUAAAACUCAGAGCUGGUAGAGCUACAAGACCAGCCUCUUUGUCUAAUCAAUCAGGUUUUUAACACAAUACACCCAGCUGAUGCUUGGGUAGAAUACAAAUUCCCAGUCAUGUGAGCUCUUAUCAGUUAUAAUACUGACAAAGAAUUAGCCAGUCUCUUUUGGUAAAAUGAUAGUUGCGGGCGCCUUAAUUUUUCUAGAAAUAUUUGGGGGAUUUGAAAGCUUAAGAAGUAAACAGGUUGUUUUGCUCAGGAAACCUUCUCUGAAAGACUGAGCAGGGUUCAUCUGAUGACAUUAGCUUUGCAAGUAAUUUCCAUGAUGUCAAGGGCACACUGGAGAUUAAAGAGGGAUUAAGACCUCCUUGCACAGUUAUGGCAUUGCAGUAAAUGGACUGGACUUGGCAGGCUGCAGCUCCGGUCGGCAACUUUCCAACACCUAAUCAUACACAAUAUAGGUUUGUGGUGUUACCUGGGCUAUUUUCACAGAGGCCAAGAAAUGUUUAACAGAUAAGGUGGGAGGAGAAAGAGGCUGGGAAGGAGGGUGGACCUGAGAAGAGCAGUUUAAGACACACCUGCCACCAUCAAGAGCUGCCGAAGAAGAUCAAGACAUUAAGGAAAAACAAUUUUUUUCAUAAUGUUUCAAAACAUGAGUUUCCAUCCUUUUUCCACUCCCAAAUUCUCCAGAUAUGCCUCUCUCUUAAAAGCUUUUUAUCCUUCAUGUUAUUAUCAAUUUCUUCAGCAAAAGGAGGCAGGUUUGUCCAGGAACUUCAUGGAAUAAAAAUGAGUUUAUGUUUUAAAACGGAAACAGCUGGAUGGCCAAAGCCAGGCAGGGAGGCAGCUCUGGUUUCAUCAGCAAAGGGAAACUCAAGGGCCUGGAGAGAACAACUGGGCUGGCAGCCAUGGCGGGGAGAAGAAAAGGAAACACACGAUCAUAAAGAACUAAUCAUGAUGAAAAAUGAAAAGCGAGAAAGAGCCAAGAACAACAAGCAAUAAAUAGAUUUGGAAAGGGGAAAAGACCAAAGGAAUGCAAAACCAUACUCAGGAAAGGGGCAGCAAGAUCAUGUGCGUUUCAUUGAAAAAUGUUUAAUAAUUCUUAAAAUCAUUAAAGAGUCCUACAGAAAUGUUUGGAGAUAACUUGUCAGACCUGAGAUUUAAUUCUUUGUGUUAUUUCAAAGCUGAUUUCAGUGCAUGAAAAGAAACAAAGUAAGAAAGGAAGAAAGGAAGAAAAGGAAAGGAAGAAAGAAGGAAAGAAAGAGAAUCAAAUGGACCUAGAGGGAGGAAUCUAAUGUAUAAUGUGCCAGAAUGCUUGGAUUUUUUUCUUUCUGCUUUUAUUUUUUUUUAACUUUUAAUUUCAGCCCGAUGGUAGGGAAAGUAAGCAAUUAGUUUGACUCUGUAGGUUCAAAGACUACAUCCAGGGCUGGGGAUUUAGCUCAGUGGUUUUGCCUCCUGCUGCGCAAGUGCAAAGACCCGAGUUCGAUCUCCGGUACCAAAAAAAAAAGGACUACAUCCAAAGUGAUAAAUCCUGAGUUUCUAAGAGUAAUUCAUACAUUCCUAGCUUUAAUUAGAAAUAGCAUGUACAUUUUUCUCUAUGCAGUAAUUGUCUGACAUUCAUGUGUUUGUCUCAAGGGACUGACAGUUCUGACUCACAGGUAGAUCUCUAAAUAUUUUCAGAUGAAAUUAACAUGGAUUUAAGGAGGACUUAAGAAGAAAACCAGAUCCUAGUUUGUUGUCCCUCUUGAAGUGUGUUCGACAUGAUAAAAUAUACAAACAUGGCCAAUUGUCCAGGCUAUCCUCGAGAUGGGAUUUUUAAUAAAAACUAUUUGAAGUUUUACAGCAGUUAUAGAUAAAAUCUUACCACAGAAAUGGUGCUGUCUUUUUAUAGGGGGGAUACUAAUUAUUAGCUUUUUUAAAAAAAUUAGUUUUUAAUAGCAGCAUUCGUUUAAAGAGAGAAAAAAAUGCUUAUGUUACCUUCUGGAAUGUACAUUCAUCUUGUUAAUGACACUGUAGUUCAUGGUUGGCAAAACAGGACUUCUGAAUCAACCUGUCUUUUUCUUUCCGUUUGGUAGUUACACUUGAGAAAGAAAGCCAGCCCACUAAAGAUACAUGAAAAGUGCAUGAAGACAGGAUAAAGGAUUUCCUAUGAUUUUAUGUUGUUCUUAAUUAGGAAGCAUAUUGGCAACAAAUGCUAACAUGUGUUAAGAUGUUUAGUUGUAGCCAAAUAAAUGUUUUCUAUUACAACUCUGAAUUCCAUGCCUACUAGGAAACCAUGCUGUUCUGUGCAUGGCUUACAAAAUCCCUUUACAAAUCAUCUCAAGGACCAAUUUUCUGUUGGCUCACAGAGCAAAACUACUUUCGCCACAUGUUCUCCUGAAGGGUCAUGGGCAACUCCAAGCGGAAGUCAAAGACAAGAGGAACAUGAUCUCCGAUGUUGGAACUGCACUGCUUUGUGGUAAUGAAUGGUCCUUCAUGAGCAUACUCAAUGUGAGCCCAGUCUCAGAAGGGGGUGUCCAGAAGCUAGGGAGCAGCACCCUCUCAUCUGUGUUUGUUUUUAUCUCAGUGGAGGAGAAGCCAAGUGAAGAAGAAUUUCCUAUAACUUCUGCUAGCAGUGUAUCACAAAAUGCUUCAUCUCCGAUGAACAAGAGUAGGCACCAAGCUGAGUAACAAGGCUAGAGAGGAUCCUUAUCUUGAUCAUUGCGUAUUUUUAAAGAGCAAACAUUUAUUUUCUACUUCUAAUGUCAGAAGUUGAUUGAAAAAGAACAAAAAGUGAAUGGUGGUGAAGUUGUUUCCUAAAAUUUAAUAUUAGGGCACCUUCUCUAUUCAGGAUCUUAUGUUGCAAGCUAACUGUACAACUGUCAUGCUUUUGGGGGGUAACUGGUGCAUGGAUUAUUCUAUCUGUGUCUUAGAAACUUUAAGAGAAAAGAUUUCCAUCAUGGUAUUUUCUACUGCAUUGCACAGAAAUUUUACAUACCCUCAUUCAUUUACACAGCUGAAAUGACACAGGAGAUAGCCAGCAUCUGUCCAUUGGUUGGAAAGCACUCUAGUUUUUUGAUAUCAAUAAGUCAAUGGAAUCCAUGACUUACAGCAAUCUUGCGGUAUUCAUUCAAUAUGCUAUGACCAUGUUACCUAAAAGCUUCAUCUCUGCUCCCUGCAAUAUUCUUCCUCCAAUUUUUGGCUGGUGUGUUCUCUCCCUUCUUCAUGCCUUUUUUCAAUUGUCCCAAUUCCUGAAGCUUCUCCUCAUGUCUCAAGUAUUCUCUUUCCCUGUGUGCAAUUAUUUUGUUUUCUUCAUUAAUUUAGUUCCUCUCUCCUCUUCUAGGCUAUACAUUUCAUGAGGAAAGAAAGGCAUUUUGGUGUCAUUCUGGUGCCUAAGAACCUAAGUAGGAGAUGUGUAAUAAAUAAUUUGUUCACUGAAUUAACAGGCCCAUAAUAUUUUUGUUAUUCCUCUCACAUCCAUGGGCAACAUGUUCAAAACCUUGAAAAUUAUUAAAUCAUUUCUCUGCAUUGCUAUGUAAAACUUCUAAUAUUCCUAAUAAGACUGACCAUGCUUAUGAAAUCUUUUUUCCUUGGCCCACUGAGUAUAUGGACCACGAAAUAUUUAACAAAAAAGUGAGACUGUACAAAGAAGCACUAGGUUAGUGAAAGAUGAUUUUUUUUUUUUAGUGCUUUUAGGUGGUGACCUCUUAACAAUGUAUCAGAUCUUUUGUAAACCGUGAAAUGAAAUGACUGGCUAUCGGAACUAAAUUUGAAGAGAAAAACUGUCAUCUUCAAAGCAGUAAAAUCUCUAUAUAACCAUGUAAACUAAUUACUAGGUUAAGUAAAAUCACUGAAAUAUAUCAGGCCUUUCUCAUGUCUGCAGGGCAGACAUAAUACAGUAAAUUUCUAAUAGUCAGCCUGGGAAGGCGCUGUAAUGGUUAGAGGAUGUCAUGGUAAUAGUCUCAGUUUUGGUUGGGAGACUUACAAAGAGAAUAUUGGUUGUACAUAAACUGUAGAAUCUACUUGAAUAUUUCUUUUUCAUUUCUCCCUAUCAAAGAGUGGAAGAUAUUUUGUGUAUAAUGUUUUUUUUUAAUUUUAGAUUAUUUGGUAUAUUGUAUUUUUUCAUGUGGGUAACAAAAAUACGUGAGCAAGAGCAAAACCUACCAGAAGCCUCAAAAACAUAGGUACCAUGGAAGACCUCAUGAUUCUUUCAAUUAUUAAAAAGCACUAUUUUAAGAAGACAUGUUAGUAAUCCACAGUAAGUCAGAAGUAUUGGAUCAACACAUUGGAACAUUGAGUAUUUAUUUAGUUUUUGGUGCUGGGGCUGGAACCUAGGGUCUCACAUGUGGCAGGUAAAUAUUCUACAACUGAGCUGUACCCCUAGUUCUGAAUGUUUGUUUUAUUAGGUCAUUUUAUAUACAUAUAUAUUUAAAUUUGGGACAUUGUUUUCUAAAGUCUCAAACUACUCUUAUACUCAACCCCGAAGACAACCCAGCUCACCACUCUGGAUUACGACUAACUGUUUGCGUAUAUGUUUUUCCCAAGAAAUUAUGCACCUUGAAGAAAAAGACUUCAUUUUUUUUUGCUUCACAAUAUUUCCCAUGACCCAGUGCAUGGAAUGGAUAAAUUACCCUUAGCAGAGGCUCAUCAGCGAUUCCUGACUUCCCUGCUAACUUUUCCUAGAGAUGUGAAUUAAAGAUAGAAAUUUGUUCAGACCAUUGAUGGUCCUCAGAAAUACAAUCUUAAAAAGUUGAUAUCUAUCCGGUCUCAAUUCAUGGAGAGCGGUGGGAACCAGACCUCUGAAAAGUGGUUGAGUAUUGGGCUACAAGCUUAGGGGAUAGUCCAUGAGGAAUAAAACCAAAAACAUACAUUAACAUUUAUUUGCCCAAACGGCUGGUGCCUUAAAAGCUGGUGCCCUCCCCCAUUCCAAUUAACAUGGAGGGAAAUAUUCCAGCUGCUGGGAUCUUUCCUCUGCAUGCGAACCUGCCGUUGUUGCCUGGGUAGCCUGUGUGUCUCUUUGGAAUUGAUAAUGAGGUUCAAGAGAGAGAGGUAUGGCCUGUACUAAGCAUGUCACCCCUAUUUAGCACCUUUGCCAGGAUGGCAGCCACUAUUGUUUUAUUAUGUCCCUGAUCAGCUGGCACUAUUCAUAAAGUAAUCACUGCCAUUAACACAUCACGCCUCAAGCCAUCUGCUGCAGCAUCACGUACACCAAGCUGUUGGUUGCAAGCAAAGCAGGUGUCAUCUAAGGAUAGUGGCACGGUAAAGGUGGGAAGUCAUCAUAGUGAAAGAAGAUAUGUUCUAUCAAAUAAUUCCAUAUUUUGAUACAUUAUAGUAUAAUAGGCCAUGGUUAUUUUGCCCAACUUGCAGAUGGCUUAAAUAAGAUAAUUCAAGUUUGAAAUAUUUUAUUUUCAACACUGGUCAGUUAUGGAGCCAAAAAUGUCCUUGAAUACCUUGAUGAUAGCAUCUUGAUCACAAGUGGACUAUUGCAUUAAUUUGCAGUAAAGUUUAGAGCAUUCUUACAGAAGCCUUCCUCUGAUCAAUCAACUCUUCAAGUGACAAACAUUUACUGAGCAUGUAGUAAGUGACACUGAUACCUGUCUUGCUCAAAUUGUAAAAGUACUAGUUUAAAACAUGAUCUGGUAAUGUAUAUGGUAGAGACUCCAUGUGUACUGAAUUCCCACCCUUUGUUCUGUCCCUAACACUUCUCUUGAUUUUUGAAUAAUUUUAAGUUUUUAUUACUUUCCAUAUUGAUGGCAUUUUUAUGUCCAAAACAAGUUUACAUUGGAAAAAUAUAAUGAUUAAAUGCAAUCUAUAAAAAUGGAUAAAGUAUAGGAUGAUCAGUUAUUGCCACCCUCUUCAUUAUGAAGGGGAUUUGUGAUUAUACAAUCAUGAGUGGAGUUAAAAAUUUAAUUGAAAGUGUUAAGUGAGGUUAGGGAGUGAAAUAAGUGAUCAUACUUGGUCCAAAUAGUCUUUUCCACCUGCGUGUAAAGUGGAACUGCAUUCCUUGUUUCUUUAACUAUAGAAAAUUUAUCUAUUUGCUCUGUACUCCCCCCAUAAAAAAGAAAUAAUAAAACAUUAAUGAGAGUAGCUAACUCUGCCCUCUAUUUCAAUCCCCAAGCUUUGCUCUUAUCUUGGAAGUGAGAAGUGUUGGAUGAGGGGUUGGAUCUGCCAGCCCCUCUGUUACUUUUAGCAGCAUCCUGCUCUUCACUUGCUAAGGAUAUAUGUGUCUGGCUAUGCAGGCUGUGGUCCUAGGGUCCAUGUAACACAGCACUGUUCACCAGGACACACCUGUCCACAUAUCCUCUAGGCUACUGGGUGGUCUAAGGGAUUUUUAAGGCUAAAUUUGACUUUACAUUUAGAACUUCACCUCUAUGGGUGUAUGUUAAUCACCCAUGGAAUUGGUGAAGGCUACCGGAUUCCAAAAUCUAUUGAAAGCAAAGAUAGCCAUUUUCUAUAUCAAGAUUUCUCAACUACUUUUGAACUCAACUUCCUUUUGAAAGACAAAAGAAAUGUCAAGCUCUCUUCUCAUCCCUGAAGAUUUGUGGAUCCAUCUGUUGUCACCAAAAAGACACUCUCAAGAUCUACUUUUGUAGGUGGAGUUAAGAAAAACGUUUUAAAACUUCUCUUCUUGCCUUUACACCCUGAGAAUUUGGAGUGUAGAUUUCAGAUGGGAAGUAGACUACUUUUCACUAUCAAAUACUCAAUUGAAGGCAAGAUUUAGUUAUUUUGACUUGAAGAUUGAAAUUUUGGAGUCUGGAAUGGCUACCUUUGAAAAUAUAAGUGAAGAUAAAAAGACACAAAUGAAGAAUCAAAGAACAAGCUAAUGAUUAUUGUCCUUUUCUAAGGGGACUACAUAUGCUCAAUAAAUCUGUGAUUACUGACUACCUACUGACUUACAGGGACAGGCAUGCUGAUGGUUUUGGAUACUGUAAUUUUAAGUUGACUUUGCCACAUGUGAUUUAAUACUUUGAAUACAAAGCCCCCAAAUUGUUUGCUAUUUUGUUUGGAUCAAAAUGUGUAGCUCAAAUGACUUUGUAAGACUGGCUUCUCAAACUAUCACCUGCCCUUACAUCAGGCUCAGAAAGAACACAAAGACAAAAGACUCUUAGGUCCACUUCUGAUGCAUUACCAGCUCUUGCAAAUGCUCAACCAAGAAAAUACAUAAUGGUUCCUCUUUCGUCACUUUUGUUAAAAUAUUUUUGUUGAAAGUUGGUAAAAGCUGUAGAUGAGCAAGCCUGGUCAUAGGUUUGAACCUGGCACAAACGACGAGGGCACCUGGGAGAUAUUCUCCCGCUGAACAUGUCCACAGUACAGUUUUUGCCUCAGGAGCAUGUUCACUGUGGCUCUGCAGGACCCAGUUGUGUGAUAGUGGGAGGCUGAUCGACUUAAAGCACAUUGGUAGCUUGUGAACACUUAAGACUGGAAACCUUCUUUGAUAAAUGCACAUCUGUCUUCUUUUUUUGAAGUCCUUAGGAAAAAUGUUGCCGGACAUUUUGCUGCCCGGAGGAGUCUAGACUUCCUUAAGCAUAAACCUUAAUCCUUCCUGGCUUCCUGCUACAAUUCUUCUGUUUCCUCCCCCAUCUUUUUCUGGGCAAAGCCAAUUCUUUUUCUCUACUCUUACCUGAGGGUCUCUGUUCACUUUUGAAGCCACAGACAAUGCAAGAAACAUUUAUUCGAAUACCUAGGCCCCAAAUGUUUCUGGAAAAAUAAAAGAUGUGUGACCAAGGACAUUACUUACCCUUUCAAUCUGUGAAAUGGAGACAAUCCAGAGAUAUCCCCUAAGGGGCCUAUGGGUAAUCAUAUAAUGUUUAUAACUCUAUAAAACAAUGGGAUACUUAUCCUUGCAAUUUGUAAAUAUAAAUUUAUAAAGACUAUAACAGUUUAACUUAUUAUAGUACUUAUCAACAUUGUUAUGUGAGUACCAUGCACUAGCCCAUUGUGUCACUGAAACCCCCUUACUGAUGUUGUUAAACACUCAGGCUUCCAGAACAUACUAAGUGUUCAAUAAAUAUAAUCAGUUACUAUUUAGAGUAAGAUAAAAAGGUAAUAAAAUAAAGCUGUAAUUCUUGUAUGUACACAGCAUGGAGGAGAAAGACUACACAGCAUGGCUAAAGACUUGGAGAUCUGACUUGAAUAUUUUAAAGGACGUAUCUUAAAGGGAUCAAGCCCAAAGAUGAUCUACCACAGAGCUACAUCUCUCGCCCUUUUUCUUUUUCUUUUUUUAUUUUGGGACAGGGUCUCACUAAAUUGGCCAGAUGGGACUUGAACUCAUGAUCAUCCUGUCUCAGUCUACCUCACUGCUGGGAUUACAGCCUCCUUGAGGUAAAAAGCUUUGCUCCACCCAACGUCCCUGCCAUGAUGUUCUGCCUCAUCCCAGAACCAAAAGCAAUGGAGACAAGUGACUAUGGACUGGAGCCUCUGAAACUGUUUUUACUUGAAGACACCGAGAACUACAGCAUCAUUCAUUGUUGGCAUGUUACAGUAGAAAGACCACUGGGCUUGGGAGUAAGAAGAUGGAAAUCAAAGAGCCAGUUUUUUCACUUCAACAAAAUGGUGCUGAAGAAAUAGGAUAUUUCAGUGGUUCCUGAGCAUAACUUACAACAUCAGCAUGGUUGGAACUCUGUGCACACAUGCGUACACAUGGAUUACCCUCCUGAGCCUUUGGUUCAAAAGAUUGGAAAUUGAUUCCUAUUGUUUACAAGCAGCUGGUGUCAAUGACUACUGAUACAUCCAUUGAAUUCUAGUUUCUUCAUUUGUAAAACAGGAAUAGCAUUUCCUAUCCGUCAUAAACGAUUGUUGUGAAGAUUAAAUGCAACAAUAGACUUGUGGCACAGGCAUAAUGCUCAGAGGAAGCUCCCUUGUUUCUUCUUCCAGUGAGCCUUCCUUGUUGUAGCUCAGAGCUUCCCAAAGGGGAUUAGCUCCAUGGGAUGCUCUGCGGAAUGACUGUGUCUUGGGCAGUUGUAUUUGACACUUAGUCUUCCUUCCUGCUUGCUAAUGGACCAUUAGAACUUUAAGGACUCUAAAAUGAGCAGAAGAAAACGGACUGGUUAAAUCUGUUGCACUCAGUGUCCCCCAAAAAGUUAUUUUACUAUUAAACUUUUUAAAGUGGCAAUUAUUAAUUGAUGUUCAACAGAGCAUGCUUCAGGGAUCACUUCCCUCUACAAUCUCUAACUAAUGUUCUACCUUUCUAUAACCUCUCUCAGGGAAUUUACUGCUUGUUUUGAUCUGAUUAAGACCCAGGCUUUCUAAUCAUCCCGGACAAUAUCUGCUCUUUUUCUGAACUACUAAUUUCAGUGGACACUCAUAUUAGUGAUGAUUCUAUUUAACUUUAACUUCCUGAGAUUAUGAAGGUAGAACACAAAUUAUCUUGGAAGAAAUUAAACCAACAAUUUAGAAAUAAAAUUAAUAACUAAACAGUAAAAAUUCACAAGUACAAGGGUGUUAAAUAAAAAAAGAGAACAUUAUAUUUUGAGAGAGCAUAACUUACUCUUGCACCCAGUUUGAUGGGAUAAAUUUAAAAGUACAAGUUUGUCUGAGAGCUAAAUUAAUCCAAUAGUCAGAAAUACCUUGAUAAAAACUUAUAAAUGAACUAAAAAUAGUUAAAUGAGAUUGCUGCUGGAGGAUAACAACAUUGAAGUUGCCAAUCUAAGAGCUAUUGAGAAGCAGAAUAUAGUUACGUAGGUUUUUGGGGUGACAUAAUUUGCCUGGUCUGUAUUUUUAAAGGAAGGUGGACUAUUUUGUUUCUAUACAUCCUCCUGGAACUGAGAAUGUAUAUCUUUAGUUGAGGUGUGUCUAUAAAAUAAUGUCUUACUUAUUCAGGCCUAAGUGGAAGAGGGUACACCUGUAUGGAUGCAUGGCUUGAGGCGAAUGAGUGAACAAGAUAGUUGGAUUCAGGGUAUAAAGUUCAAAGCCAGGUCAGGAAGAGUUAGCAUUAAGACUUUGCUUCUUCAGAUAACUACUCAAUAUGUAUAUUUUUUGCAAGCAUCUUGCUUUUGCAGGUCUGCUAUGAAAAUCUCAGAAGAACAGCUUUGCUUGUGAGCUCUCCCACAUUUCUACUCUGGUCCUGGCCAGAAAGACUGUGAGAACACCCUUUCAUUUGGUAUUUGAGCCCUUCUGCCUCUAUUCCUGGCUUCAGACCAAAGGGAAUAAAUGCAACCGAACAUUUCAGAACCUCGAAAUAGUAAACCGAAAAUGGUUUGCUCUGCUUUUGGUUCUAAAAAUGAUUGACCUGAGAAUUUUUUUUCCAAACUAUCUGCUUGGUCCAUCUCUAGUGUGGAUUACUGGACUUUAGAAACCUGAGGAGGAGAGUAUUUCUUAGAAAAUACAUAAAGAAAAUAUGCAAACAAAAUUUUUAUAAUAAAGGUGCCCAGUUGCUACAACAGAGGUUAGAUUUUACGAGCAUGGUUUAUAUUCCUGAGUAUUUAAAGCAGAAGAGGCUUGGAUGAGAAAGUGGAAAACAUGGGCUUGUAUGGUGAGCCAGUUCAUCACUAGCUUAGUGACCAGGGCAGAUUCCCUAGGCUUUGUCUCCUCUGGGCAAAAUGAAUAGAAAUCAAAAGAAUUAUACUUAUUUUAAUUGAGUCAUUAUGAAGAACAAGGUAUUUCAGAAUACCUUAAAAAUUACAGUGCCAAAGACCAUGUGAAAGUCAGUAAAUCAUAGGGACUACAAGUUUGUAUGUUACCACCAAACACACCUGGUUUCAAAUCUCUGUUCCUCUGCAUUCCAGCUCUGUGACCUGCGUAUGUCACUAAAAACCUCUGAACACUGAUUUCAUCAUCUGUGAAAUGAGGAGAGUGAUGUUGGGAGAAGAAAGUCAAAUGAUGUAAAAUGGUAUUGAUGAUGCCUAUUGUACAUACUCAUAGUUCCAGGUGCCAAUCUAGAGAACCCUCUGAACUAUUUUCCACACAGUUACUUAGUCUUCUGAAUCCCAUUGAGUUGACACAAGAAUGAUGCCCAUGUGUUGGGUGGCUGCGUAGGGGGUCAGUUUACUUGCUUGGAUCCAAAAUAUGGAUUAGGCUCAAUGGGAAUAUCCAAAGGAGAAAGUAGAACACUCUGGCCGGGCUAUGCCAAGUAUAAAGCAAUGCUGAUUUGGGUCAAUUUUUAGCAUCCACUUUUCAAUAGCAAAGAGAGAAAGGUGAAAGGUAAAACUAUAUGCAGGGCCACUUUUUGUGGAAUUAGAACACCAGGACAGAUUUUCUUACAUUAGGGAUAGGAUACUUGUUUUGUGAAAAACAGGUAUUCACUAUAACUAAAUAUACAAUGUCACUGGUAGUUUACUUGAUAUUCCCUACACACAUUAAGGAUAGGAAUUUAGUAAAUAUUUGAUUUGAUUAAAUAUUAAAGUAUCAUAUAAGUCUUCCAAUGAAAACACUGUCUUUAAUCCACCCAGCAGGACUUACUGUUCUGCUACCCCUCUAAGGUGUUUGUUAAAUAGCAUUCUCUCUUCCUCCCUUCAUAGUUAAAGUUUUUGAGUGAAUAAUCCUAUUGGCAGCAUUUCUUCAUGGAUUUGGAAUCCCUACAUUUCUCUCCCUCUGGGUAUUGACACUUCUGGGCACUUGUGACUCCCCAAGGGCCACAUCCAAUGACAGUUUGUAAAUGAGAUUCUCUUUUGCCAUUUUGCAUCUUUUACCUUCUGCAGCACUUUUUUGUCCCCUCCCCCAAUUACAGUGAAUCCUUUUCUGUCGCCUUCAGGUGCUUCCUUGGGAUUCUGUCCUUUAUCGCCUUCUCUUUACCCCAUACCUUAAGCCAACCCUGCCAAUCUACUACUCUAGUUAUCUCCCCUACCCGAAACUCUGGGCCCCCAUAAUGUUCCUCCCAAGCUUGUUAUCUUCACCUGGAUGUCGUCAAGCUUGGUGUCCAAAGUCAAAGCUCAACAACUGUCUCUGUAAGCCGGCUCCCCUCUCCUGCCCCCUUCACUUCAGCCAUUUUGUUUGUAUAUGAAAAUAAACUUCUCCUGGUGGGAAAAAUUCAAACCCUCAGCACUAUCUUGGUCCCAAGGCUCUCGUUUGACCUCAAGUUCCAGGAAAUUCCCAUGUUUAGUUGUGAGCCUGUCAAUUUUAUCUAACUAUGUCUGCCACACUUACAGGGUGGACAGAUGAUGCUUCGAGGGUCUCUGGUUCUCUCUGGGAUGUGUACUCAUGCGUUCUGAAGACAGUUGCUAUAACUCCAGCCAUUUCUUCUGUAUUUUAGACAGGAAAAGGAGAUAGACCACAGAAUCAAAGGGCACUUGCCAAUGCCCAAGGGGCAUCCUUUAAGGGGAGUUUUCUUGAAGGAACUGUUUGAUAAUCUUUGCUUAUAUUGAGUUGACCAGAGCAGAGCUGCAUCAAUCCACCAGGGAGGCAAAGAAAUAUAGUCAAAACAUCUGACCACAGUGCUGCUCCAAUGAGAUAGAACACUAUGGGAAGGGAAGAAAAAGCAGCAUGAGAUUGAGUAGAUGACCAAGGGUCUUUACAAACCCGUUCUCUUUACUUUCCUAUGUUUUCUUAAAAGAAACAACCACUGAAUUUGGAAGGAUAAAAGAGACUACAGUUCUUUCUUUCCCACCCUCAUCAUCUUACUUCAUACUCUUCUUACCUUUUUGCUUAGAUUCUUGCAAAGUUACAUGUAAGUCCCUACUCCACUUUUACUAUUUCCUCGGGUCUCCACGCAUUUAUUAAAGAAGAGAGUGUUGCUGAUGGGCACUGUGCAACAUGCUCAGGAUGAAAGAAACAAUGUCCUUGUUCUUGAUUUGAUCUACACAUUAUAUACCUGUCACAAACAUCACACUGUACCCCAUAAAUAUGCACUAUUAUUAUGUGUCUAUUAAAAUCAAUCAAUCAUCAAUCAAUCCCAUGACCUUUGUUAUGGUACAUAUAGUCCUGUCGGGGAGACCAACAUGCCAGCAACUGGUCCCAGUACACCACAUCACAGGAUGAGAUGGACGUGGACGAAAUGAAUUGAGGAAGCAGAGAGAAAACCAUGGCUACUGGAGCCUGGGAAAGUCUGAGAAGACUCUAUAGAAAAGUGGAUAUUGUCAGCUGAGUUGUGUUUUAGUAAGCAUUUCACAGGCCAACUCAAAGAGAAAUAAUAAGUUUUCUGUGUUUGCAAACUAUUGCCCAUGAAAAACUGAGGGGUGACAUACUUGACCUCACUCCAAAUUUAAUUUUUAAAGAAAGGAAUCAUAAGUAAAAGUAAUUUAAAAUAUAACAUUACAGGGCACAGUAUUGAUAAAUGAGAGGAAAACUGGUUCUUAAAGAGUGUACCACUCACUGACCAUGCCCUGAAAUUAACUGAGAACUCAUUUGUCAAGAGUGUACCUACCCUGAGAAAAUCUUCCAAUUAACAUCAAAAGUGAUCAUUCUUAACCUCUCAUGCAUUAAGAAAUUCUUGUCUGCACCUGAUGUUCUGUUCAUAAUCAAUGGAGCUCUUUAUGUAUGUUAUUUCAAAUUUAUCACCCUGUAUAUUACUAAAAUGAACGAAUUAAUAAAUGAAUCUGCUGUAGGUCCAGAAGCCAGAUUUAUUUGUUGUCUCCUGGUUCUCAUAGGAUUUUCCUUUGGUCUGUAAGUCAUUUCACUCUGCAGUUUCUCACAGUUUCCGAUAUUUAUUGAUAGCUACUGACAGCAUGUGUUGGUACUUACAGACCAAUGGUGUCUAUGUAAGAAAAAUGCUUUUUGGGAGGAUUAGAUCUGUUCUGAAAAAUGUCAGCCAUGUCACUAUCAGACUAUGCUAAGAAGACAAUGCAAAAGUCCUAUCAGUUCUAACUGUAAUAUAUUGUCACAGAAACAUGCCUCAAGAUAAAUUAAGUAAUACUUGAUGCUGUCAUGGUAAUGGGAAGAUUGAUAAGUUUAUAAACUUUGGUUGAGAACAAAUUAGUGCAAUAUUCUUGGUGGCCACUAUCACGAUAUGAGAUUAAGAUAUGUUAGGCUAUAUCCCUAAAUUUGGACCCUUAAUUUCUACCUAUAAGAAUCUACCUAUGAAAAUGAUUAAAAUUUAGAAUAUGAUGUAGAAAAUGGAAGUCAGAGCAUUCAAUAAACUGCAAAAUAUCCAAGAGCUCGAAUAUUAUGUAGUCUAUCAAAAAUUCUGUCUUCAAAUAUUUUUGAUUACAUAAAAAAGUGCCUGUUACAUUCAGUGAUGGACAAGAAGGAAAGUAUUAAGGUCUCAUCCCUCUCUAUGUGGAUAAAUGUCAUUCAUGUUUAUGCAUGCAUAUCUUUCAUGUGAUUUGCACUGGACUGCUAAGAGUUUAAGUGAUUCCUGUUAUCUUCAGGGUUAUCUAAAUUUUAUAACUUUCUACAUCAAGAAGUGUGAGUUUCAUAAUCAGGAACAAAAAAGAAAAUCUUAAAAGGAAAGCUAAACAAAGAUCAUGCAAGAGAGUAGGAAGGGUUUGUUUUUGGCCCUUUUCAUAUGUAAUUGUCUACACUAAUAAUUCUCAGACUUGCAUACCAAGUGAAGUCAAUCUCACUAAGGGUCUCAAUCAAGACUCAGGCUUGAGUGUGUGCUCCAGGCUCUGAGCAUUCCCCCAUCACCCCUCUCCAUCCUGUCCUCCAAAUUUCCAUCCAUUUUUUUUUUCAAGCCAGGAAUGUUCCCAUAUGUCUGUAAUCCCAGCACUUUAGGUGGCUGAGGCUGGAGGAUUGCAUGUUCAAGCCCAGCCUGGGCAAUUUAGUGAAUUGGAAAGACAUUGUUUCAAAAUGUAAUAAAUGAAUGAAUGAAUGAAUGAAUAAUAAAUAAAUGAAUGGGCUGAGGAUGUACCUCAGUGGAAAGGCCCUGUGUUUAAUGCCCAGGAUUGAAAAAAGGAAUUUACUUUUUUACCAAAGCACAGCUAUUGUCAUGUGACUCCCUCCUUGAAGCAUCAUUAUAACUUCCUGACUGCUCGGCGUGCUCAGCGUGGCUCCAGCUCCUGUCCACCGUCUGAUACCUUUUGUAUCGCCUCAUCUUCUGACACUCCAGCCCAGCAGGCGUCUGGUUCCCUUCACGACACGCCUCACUCUGCCCUCCCAGUCACUGUUUCCUCAUGUUUGUUCGUUCUGCUCACCCUUCAAAGCCCUGCUAAAAUUCCUAGAAUGUUCAUUGUGAAUGUUUUCCUCCAUCAUUUCCUCUGUGGACUGUAUUGGUCUCUUUUAUUGCAUUUACCAGGAUUUAACUUGUUUCAUGCUUACUUGUGUCUUUCUCUUCUUGUGUUGUUAGCCCCCCAAAUUAUACCAUCUGUUGUGAUUUUCAGUUGUUAGCAGGUAUUACAGUCAUCUAAGGGUUAAUUAAAACAGAAAUUUGGGGUCCCAUUCCAAGUAUUUCUAAUGCAAUAUACCUGUGGAGGGGCAUAGGAAAGUCCUUUUCCAAUAAGGCCACAGGCGCUGCUGCUACAGUUGGUGACAGAAAACACUUUGAGAACCAUUGCUUUCCAAGGAGGGUGAGAAUGAUGUAAAACAAAUGAGACUCUGCUUUGCUGUGGAAGAUAGAGCACGGAUAGUGAAAUCAUAGGAUUUCAUGCAACUUGGGUUAGAUUUCUGUUCUGUCACUUGAUGUUUGAACAAGUUACUUAACCUUUCUAAGAAACUUAACUUUCUUGCCAGGUAGUUUAGGAACAUUAUUAACUCUUAUAUAAGAAUUUUUUCUGAGGGUUAUAUAGGAUUGCAAAAUACCCAAUAAAUGGUGGCUACUACUAUGAAUCCAUUUAUUCUACAAAAUAACCGUGUAAGAUACGUUUUUGCUCCCAUUGGCCGUACUGUACCCCCAGACAGCUUCUUGGACUUUUAAUUAAAG
This 23066-nucleotide long non-coding RNA is filed under the name Heterocephalus glaber (naked mole-rat). RNAcentral's name for it is "lncRNA (ENSHGLG00100048239.1)". Lineage: Eukaryota; Metazoa; Chordata; Mammalia; Rodentia; Bathyergidae. The record is from RNAcentral.